This is a non-coding RNA of Acipenser ruthenus (sterlet), 4718 nucleotides long. The record is from the annotation of a RefSeq genome assembly. Lineage: Eukaryota; Metazoa; Chordata; Actinopteri; Acipenseriformes; Acipenseridae.
CGUCUCAGUCAACCCUGAAAGUCACCCAGUGGCCCCCGGUUGCUGUAGUGAGCCUGCGCCAGUCUGUAGAGAUGAAUUGCAACCAGAGUGCUUCUAAUAGCUACAUGUACUGGUAUCGACAGCAAAACUCCAGUGAGCUUCAACUGGUCUUUUAUUCUUCAUACGGCAGCGAUCCAGAAAAGGGUGAAAACAUCCCUGAUAGAUUUACUGUCUCCAGGACACAGAGGGAGAGAAUCACUCUGAAUAUAAAGAAUGCUGUGGCUUCAGACACUGGAGUGUAUUACUGUGCAGCUAGUGCCACAGUACACAAACCUAUCAGUCUUCCUGUCUGAAAACUCUACAAGGGGGCAGACAAGAGACAGAAACACAACAUGCAGCAACACACAAUAAUACUCAAAUUGUGACUGUUUAGAACAUGCUUCCAUCAUUUAACUUUGGUGCUCAUUUGAUAACAUUGUAGACCUUCCAGUUGAUCUACAUACCAUAUUGGUAGUUUUUAACUGCACACAAAAUCUUUCUCCUCCCUGAAGAAGUGUUGCCACUAACCCACUCAAAAUGGACAUACCCCCUGUGAAGAAAAUGGCAGUGACGCCUUUAAGGAAUGGCGUCGCUGGAAAGGAAACUACACGUCCCAGAAGGCUCAGUGUCAAUUGGUAGGGCGGGGUUACACAGUUUAAAAGGAAGCAGAGCAGAAUAAUCGGAGUGUUGUGUGAUUGUGGGGAACACUGCCCGAUUGUCCUGCCUGCGCAAGCUUUGGGGAAUCUAUCCUAUCUUCCUGUGUCUGUGGGAAAGCUGUAACGCAGCGUCUCAGUCAACCCUGAAAGUCACCCAGUGGCCCCCGGUUGCUGUAGUGAGCCUGCGCCAGUCUGUAGAGAUGAAUUGCAACCAGAGUGCUUCUAAUGCCUACAUGUACUGGUAUCGACAGCAAAACUCCAGUGAGCUUCAACUGGUCUUUUCCUCUCCAUACGGCAGCGAUCCAGAAAAGGGUGAAAACAUCCCUGAUAGAUUUACUAUCUCCAGGACACAGAUGGAGAGAAUCACUCUAAAUAUAAAGAAUGCUGAGGCUGCAGACACUGGAGUGUAUUACUGUGCAGCUAGUGCCACAGUACACAAACCUAUCAGUCUUCCUGUCUGAAAACUCUACAAGGGGGCAGACAAGAGACAGAAACACACCAUGCAGCAACACACAAUAAUAUUCAAUACUGUGACUGUUUAGAAAAUGCUUCCCUCAUUUAACUUUGGUGUUCACUUGAUAACAUUGUAGGCCUUCCAGUUGUUCUACAUACCAUAUUAUUAGUUUUUAACUGCACACAAAAUCUUUCUCCUCCCUUGAAGUGUUGCCACUAACCCACUCAAAAUGGGCAUACCCCCUGUGAAGAAAAUGGCAGUGACGCCUUUAAGGAAUGGCGUCGCUGGAAAGGAAACUACACGUCCCAGAAGGCUCAGUGUCAAUUGGUAGGGCGGGGUUACACAGUUUAAAAGGAAGCAGAGCAGAACAAUUGGGGUGUUGUGUGAUUGUGGGGAACACUGUUCGAUUGUCCUGCCUGCGCAAGCUUUGGGGAAUCUAUCCUAUCUCCCUGUGUCUGUGGGAAAGCUCUAACGCAGCGUCUCAGUCAACCCUGAAAGUCACCCAGUGGCCCCCGGUUGCUGUAGUGAGCCUGCGCCAGUCUGUAGAGAUGAAUUGCAACCAGAGUGCUUCUAAUGCCUACAUGUACUGGUAUCGACAGCAAAACUCCAGUGAGCUUCAACUGGUCUUUUAUUCUUUAUACGGCAGUGAUCCAGAAAAGGGUGAAAACAUCCCUGAUAGAUUUACUGUCUCCAGGACACAGUUAGAGAGAACAGCUCUAAAUAUAAAGAAUGCUGAGGCUGCAGACACUGGAGUGUAUUACAGUGCAGCUAGUGCCACAGUACACAAACCUAUCAGUCUUCCUGUCUGAAAACUCUACAAGGGGGCAGACAAGAGACAGAAACACAACAUGCAGCAACACACGAUAAUACUCAAAUUGUGACUGUUUAGAAAAUGCUUCCCUCAUGUAACUUUGGUGUUCACUUGAUAACAUUGUAGGCCUUCCAGUUGUUCUACAUACCAUAUUGUUAGUUUUUAACUGCACACAAAAUCUUUCUCCUCCCUGAAGAUGUGUUGCCACUAACCCACUCAAAAUGGGCAUACCCACUGUGAAGAAAAUGGCAGUGACGCCUUUAAGGAAUAGCGUCGCUGGAAAGGAAACUACACGUCCCAGAAGGCUCAGUGUCAAUUGGUAGGGCGGGGUUACACAGUUUAAAAGGAAGCAGAGCAGAUCAAUUGGGGUGUUGUAUGAUUGUGGGGAACACUGUUCGAUUGUCCUGCCUGCGCAAGCUUUGGGGAAUCUAUCCUAUCUCCCUGUGUCUGUGGGAAAGCUAUAACGCAGCGUCUCAGUCAACCCUGAAAGUCACCCAGUGGCCCCCGGUUGCUGUAGUGAGCCUGCGCCAGUCUGUAGAGAUGAAUUGCAACCAGAGUGCUUCUAAUGCCUACAUGUACUGGUAUCGACAGCAAAACUCCAACGCAGCGUCUCAGUCAACCCUGAAAGUCACCCAGUGGCCCCCGGUUGCUGUAGUGAGCCUGCGCCAGUCUGUAGAGAUGAAUUGCAAGCAGAGUGCUUCUAAUACCUACAUGUACUGGUAUCGACAGCAAAACUCCAGUGAGCUUCAACUGGUCUUUUCCUCUCCAUACGGCAGCGAUCCAGAAAAGGGUGAAAACAUCCCUGAUAGAUUUACUGUCUCCAGGACACAGAGGGAGAGAAUCACUCUAAAUAUAAAAAAUGCUGAGGCUGCAGACACUGGAGUGUAUUACUGUGCAGCUAGUGCCACAGUACACAAACCUAUCAGUCUUCCUGACUGAAAACUCUACAAGGGGGCAGACAAGAGACAGAAACACAACAUGCAGCAACACACAAUAAUACUCAAUACUGUGACUGUUUAGAAAAUGCUUCCCUCAUGUAACUUUGGUGUUCACUUGAUAACAUUGUAGACCUUCCAGUUGUUCUACUUGUCAUAUUGGUAGUUUUUAACUGCUGUGAAAGAAUCGCACCUCUCCACGGUUCAUUGCCCCUUUAAAACACUGACCCAACACACACAAAUGGAUUUUAUAAAGCACGGUUGCACUAUUUUUAAUGGAAACACACAAAAACAAAAAUAAACAAAAAUAAACACUUAGUUCUUCUUUGAGCAAUAACUAAAACAAAACAGGAACCUAAACUAAAAACAGGACAGCUAAGCUGUUUACUUGUAACAGAACAAAACAAACAGCACACACAUAAAAGGCUUCACUAUACCUUUUUCCUUUUAAAUUACAGCUGUACCCACACACCAGCACAGUCAGGCACCUACCCUCUUCAGCAGCCACCCAAAGCAGACUAACUGCUCUCCUUAUAAACCCUGCACCUGGCUCUAAUUUUCAAUCAUAGCCAGGUGCAGGUGAUAAUUAACAAUUAAAUAAUUAACAAAACAAUCAAACAAUUAACAAAACAAACCAAAAUGUACCUUACGCACAUGUUUUUCUGCAGGGAGGUUUUAACCCCCUCCCUGCUGUCUCACACUGCACACAAAAUCUUUCUCCUCCGUGAAGAUGUGUUGCCACUAACUCACUCAAAAUGAGCAUACCCCCUGUGAAGAAAAUGGCAGUGACGCCUUUAAGGAAUGGCGUCGCUGGAAAGGAAACUACAUGCCCCAGAAGGCUCAGUGUCAAUUGGUAGGACAGGGUUACACAGUUUAAAAGGAAGCAGGGCAGAACAAUCGGGGUGUUGUGUGAUUGUGGGGAACACUGCCCGAUUGUCCUGCCUGCGCAAGCUUUGGGGAAUCUAUCCUAUCUUCCUGUGUCUGUGGGAAAGCUAUAGUAAGUGCUUUACAGUUCAGUUGUAGUUAAUUGUUGAAAGUUUAGUUUAGCGCGUUUUACCUCUUGUUGAGGCAGCCUUUUUGUUUCUUUUUGUUUUGUGUAACUUUUGCGAUUUGGUUAAAUUGCUGUGUUGUUACUGCUGUCUAUGCCGUUAUUAGUAGGUGACCCACGGGGUAGCCUGGGGUGCCUGUGUGGCGCAGACACGGUAAAACUAUACUGUGUUACCAAGAGUGUUACUUAUAUAACCCGGGACUGGUUAAGGCACUGUUUGGUUACUAGCUGCAGGAGCAGCGAACUGCACACCGGUGUGGGAAGCGUUCAUAGUACAAGAAACUGAAACACAAGACCGUGGUUUUGGGAUAUUGUUUAUUUACUGCCUGAACUUGACUCUUUUAAAACCAGUCACUGCUGUGGGAGCACCAGUAUCCCGCCAUUCCUCUUAAGGGAUUGAGCACCCAUCCGUAUACAUCCUGGGACUCCGCUGUGGUGGGAACGCUCCCACAUAUCCUGGACUUCACUUGCUUGUGUUCCAGGCUCACUCCACCAGAGGGAGCUGCUGUUGUCUGUUUCUCUGUGUUCCAGGUGGUAAGCAACCGAGAGAGACCAACCUCUACUUACCUGUGUUUCUGGCUCUCUUCACCAGAGGGAGCCCAACCUCUACUUACCUGUGUUCCUGGCUCACUGCACCAGAGGGAGCCCAACCUCUACUACCUGUGUUCCUGGCUCGCUCCUCCAGAGGGAGCCCAACCUCUACUUACCUGUGUUGCAGUCUGGACAUUCUACAGGCAAAGCUGUAGAAGCUUGGUCAUCUCAAAGUAGCAUAGAGAAGGGAGAAGAAGUGAGGUAG